This is a long non-coding RNA of Peromyscus californicus insignis, 1713 nucleotides long. RefSeq lists it as uncharacterized. The record is from RefSeq and is a predicted model, not a curated record. NCBI's taxonomy places the organism in Eukaryota, Metazoa, Chordata, Mammalia, Rodentia, Cricetidae. The transcript is spliced from 4 exons.
UGACGUUCCCGAACGCACUGGUCUGGUACUCGGUGAACACCGGGCGCGCGACCGUGCUGGCCGCGUUCAGCAACAAGCUGCUCUCGUCCCCCGAAACCAGCGGGCUUCUCCCUAGUGGACCUGUUUUGGGAGACAGGCUGUGUUUGAAAGGCUUCUGGGCAGAUGGAGUGUCCCACCAGUCAAACACAAAGAAGACACCAGAGUGGAGAAACAGGUAAGCCAACAUGCAUGCCACAUGUGGAAGUCAGAGGACAGCUUGCAGGAGUCAAUUCCCGCCCUCCUGGGAGGUCAAACUCAGUCUAUGAAGGUCGACAGCAAGCCCCGUUAUCCACUAAGCCAUCUCGACGGACCUACGCCCACUUGUGCUGACAUUUACUUCACCCUAAGUAUAUGUUAAAAUUAAUAAUGAUAUUCUGAUUGCUCGUAUUUAACUAAUCAUUUAAAAACUAAUGUGCAAACAUAAAGGCAAGAUCCAAGACUGUUUCGAGCAUUUGUAACUAUCGUACAUUCAAACCAAUACUUCCAUGUAAAUGCUAAAAAGGGCUCUUUAGAGCUUCCUUAAAAAUGAAAGUCAGAAGGCAACAUACCACUGGGGAAAUAGUUUUCUUCUUGCCAAGAUAAAAAUAUCUGAAAUAAUACAUUGAAUACAAAUGGGGGAAAAAACAACCCUGCAUUCCUUUGUCAGCAAAGACCUUCAAAAUAUGCACAGAAAGUUGCUGAACCCAGAGUCACAAGUGUUGGAACAGCAGUGUGGGAAGUUGCAGGCUACACUGAAAGCUGAUGUCUUUAACACUUUCCACUUUGGGAUGUUUACUGGGUUCUGCUGCACUAUGGCAUUUUCUAGACCAUGCUUCAAUAAUAAAAUACAACUUUUUGUGUGAUCUUAAAAGAAAGCUCUAAUAAAGGUGGCAGAUUUUCUUCCUUAUUCUUCAAAAAUGGCUGUUCAAAAGUAAAAGCUAAUCUAUUUAAUGUUUUUGGAAGUGUAAACAUUUAUGGAUUCAUGGGAAUUUUUGCCUUUUUUUGUUUGUUUGUUUGUUUUGUUGUGUUUGUUUGUGUCCCAGGCUGACCUCAGACUCAUGACAAUCCUCCUGCCUCAGCCUCCUGAGUGCCAGGAUUAAUGGUAUGUGCCACCGUGUUUGAUGGAUUAGUUUUGACUAAGAUUAUUCACUUUUGAAGUGAGGAAGUAUUGCGAACUAAGGAGAGAGCAAGCACAUGAGCUUUCUUCCCAGUACACCUCACAGGCAAUUCAAACCAGCUGGCAUCAGAACAUGCAGCAUGAUAGGAUGUUAUCUGUGUGUUAAGUCUGUGAAAAAACAAUUUGUUUAUAGCUGUUGGUAAUCAAUCUACCUCAAGAUCCAGCUAUACCACUUUUAUGUUUCAUCUUUUAUGUUUUAUGAGGACACUUGCUCAACCAUAUUCACUACUACUUUAUUCAUAAUAGCCAGAAACUGGAAACAACCUAGCUAUCCCUCAAGAGAAGAAUGGAUAAAGAAAGUGUGUGUGAUACAUUUACACAAUGGAGUAUUACUUAGCUGUUAAAAGAAAUGACAUCAUGAAAUUUGCAGACAAAUAGAUGGAACUAGAAAAAAGUCAUCCUGAGAGAGGUAACCCAGAUGUAGAAUGAUAAAUAUGGUGCUUAUUCACUUAUAUAUGGAUAUUAGCCAUUAAAUAAAUGAUAACCAACAUACAAUCCAUAGACCCAAAGAGGUUAGA